AGAGUUUGAUCGUGGCUCAGAUUGAACCUCAGUGCUCAGAUUGAACGCUGGCGGCAGGCCUAACACAUGCAAGUCGGGCGAGAAAGCACUUCGGUGUGAGUAGAGCGGCGGACGGGUGAGUAACGCGUAGGAAUUUGCCCAGUAGUGGGGGACAACAUGUGGAAACGCAUGCUAAUACCGCAUACGCCCUACGGGGGAAAGCAGGGGAUCUUCGGACCUUGCACUAUUGGAGAAGCCUGCGUCGGAUUAGCUAGUUGGUGGGGUAAAGGCCCACCAAGGCGACGAUCCGUAGCUGGUCUGAGAGGAUGAUCAGCCACACUGGGACUGAGACACGGCCCAGACUCCUACGGGAGGCAGCAGUGGGGAAUAUUGCGCAAUGGGGGAAACCCUGACGCAGCCAUGCCGCGUGUGUGAAGAAGGCUCUAGGGUUGUAAAGCACUUUCAGUAGGGAGGAAAGGGUAGUAGCUAAUACCUGCUAUCUGUGACGUUACCUACAGAAGAAGCACCGGCUAACUCCGUGCCAGCAGCCGCGGUAAUACGGAGGGUGCAAGCGUUAAUCGGAAUUACUGGGCGUAAAGCGCGCGUAGGCGGUUUUGUAAGCUGGAUGUGAAAGCCCUGGGCUCAACCUGGGAACUGCAUUCAGAACUGCAAGGCUAGAGUUUGGUAGAGGUGAGUGGAAUUUCCUGUGUAGCGGUGAAAUGCGUAGAUAUAGGAAGGAACAUCAGUGGCGAAGGCGACUCACUGGACCAAAACUGACGCUGAGGUGCGAAAGCGUGGGUAGCAAACGGGAUUAGAUACCCCGGUAGUCCACGCCGUAAACGAUGUCAACUAACUGUUGGGGAGACUUGAUCUCUUAGUGGCGCAGCUAACGCAAUAAGUAGUCCGCCUGGGGAGUACGGCCGCAAGGUUAAAACUCAAAUGAAUUGACGGGGGCCCGCACAAGCGGUGGAGCAUGUGGUUUAAUUCGAUGCAACGCGAAAAACCUUACCUACUCUUGACAUCCUCGGAACUUGUCAGAAAUGACUUGGUGCCUUCGGAACGCAGUGACAGGUGCUGCAUGGCUGUCGUCAGCUCGUGUUGUGAAAUGUUGGGUUAAGUCCCGUAACGAGCGCAACCCUCGUCUUUAGUUGCCAGCACGUAAUGGUGGGGACUCUAGAGAGACUGCCGGUGAUAAACCGGAGGAAGGUGGGGACGACGUCAAGUCAUCAUGGCCCUUAUGUGUAGGGCUACACACGUGCUACAAUGGUCGGUACAAAGGGUUGCCAACCCGUGAGGGGGAGCUAAUCUCAUAAAGCCGAUCGUAGUCCGGAUUGAAGUCUGCAACUCGACUUCAUGAAGUUGGAAUCGCUAGUAAUCGCGGAUCAGAAUGUCGCGGUGAAUACGUUCUCGGGCUUUGUACACACCGCCCGUCACACCAUGGGAGUGGAUUACACCAGAAGUAGGUAGCUUAACCCUAGGGAGGGCGCUUACCACGGUGUGGUUCAUGACUGGGGUGAAGUCGUAACAAGGUAGCCG
This 1515-nucleotide ribosomal RNA is filed under the name uncultured prokaryote. RNAcentral's name for it is "partial 16S ribosomal RNA". It matches the Rfam family "Bacterial small subunit ribosomal RNA". The record is from RNAcentral.